Molecule: transfer RNA, 88 nt
Filed under: Actinoplanes aureus
Lineage: Bacteria; Bacillati; Actinomycetota; Actinomycetes; Micromonosporales; Micromonosporaceae
Description: Actinoplanes sp. NEAU-A11 tRNA-Ser
Rfam family: tRNA
About the family: Transfer RNA (tRNA) molecules are approximately 80 nucleotides in length.
Source: RNAcentral
GGAUGGGCCAGCCGAGGGCAGGCGACGGCCGCGGUCUCGAAAACCGUUGGGGAGCAAUCCCGUGUCGGUUCGAUCCCGACCCCAUCCG